UCGUCUUUUCCAUUCUCCAGCCCUUUUCAUCCUUCCCAUUGUGGUGGCUGGGAACACUUUUUUGAACAUGCAAGUGGAUUUAUGCUUGAAAUUGACUUGGUUCGCUGCGUUACAGUGGGAUAUAUUUGUUCACACCCAAAAUCCAUCACCGGUUCCUCCAUCAGUAAGUUUUGUGCUUCUGUCUCUGGAGCAUUCUCUUCUCUAAGUCACUUGAUAUAAUAUUCUUUAUAUUCCAAAAUUGACCCACAGUUCAUCUAUCAUUAAUUAAUUAGUUGCUGUCCAAUUCAGAUAAUCAAAGAAAUCCAAUCUCUGAUUUGGGUUUUUUAUUUAAGAUAAUGAAGUUCUCUUGUGACUUUUCAGUUUCCUCACUACUUAGUAGCAGUAAAAUGGACACCUUUUUUGCAUUUUUUUCCAACCAUGCAUGUGUUUCAAAAUAAAAUUUUUGGGUCUGAUAUUCUCUGAUUUUUGUCAAAUUAUUCUCUUGCAGUGCAUGUUCUAGCUAUGGCGUGACAUACAGAGUGGAAGUUAAGAUGUUUUCUCUAAUUAUUUGAUGUAUUCGGUAUUGUUGCUUUGUUUUGGAAUGAACUUAGUGGUGAGCAUACUGCAUUUUUUUGUGAGUUUCAUUGCAAAUCCCGCAUAUUAAUCUUUUUACAGUAUCAGACUACACUGAUAAAAUGUUAGGAGUUAGGUCACAGUAGUGUUUAUUCAGACUAUUAAUUGAUUAAGUUCUCGCAGGUAACCUAACCUUUUGUUUUAUAGACGUUAUUGCUGUUACUU
Molecule: long non-coding RNA, 777 nt
Filed under: Nicotiana tabacum (common tobacco)
Lineage: Eukaryota; Viridiplantae; Streptophyta; Magnoliopsida; Solanales; Solanaceae
Description: long non-coding RNA (NTAB_LNC002686)
Source: RNAcentral